CUCUUAACUUUGUGUUCUUAGGAUUUAAAGAGAGACAGUCACUGAAAUGGUUAUGGUAGAAUUCCUAAGCAAUUGAAGGCCCUGCUUGGAUUGAUUCUUCCAAAAUAUUUUUCUGUUUUUAUAGUUACAAAAAACUAAAAACUCCUAAAUUGGUCUACUUGGUUCUGUUUUUUAAAAACUGUUUUUGAAAAACUGAGAUAAAUGAGUUAAGGUUUUUGGAGAACAACUUUGGGCUGUUUUCUGAAUUUUCUAAAACCUUUUAUUAGUUAAGGGAAAACACGGAGAACACUUUGUUCGCUUAAAAAAAAUGACGGACCCUUCUCGUUUAUAACCUCAGCCAUACAAGCCCUCCUUACAAUCUCUCUUCAAGCAUUUUCUCUCAAAUUUCUUAGUUACAGUCUCUCUUUAACCCAUCUUUCAGUUUCUUGAACCUCGUCUAAUGAUGGUCGAUCUGCGCUUCUCUGCCUACAGUUGUCUCUCUUCGUUCGGCUAGCCAUGUUUGUGCUUGUAACUACGGUAGAGCAUUUUUCAACUGGCAUCCAUUUGUGUCAAUUGUGGGGAGGCUAUUAAUGAUGAUACAAACCAAUUGUUUGGGUUUAGAUUUGUCGGUUGCUUCAUUGGGCCUGACCUUCCUUUUCAACUCUUCAUGAUUUGGUGAUAUAAUUUGAUAAUAAUAUCAGACAACAAGUUCAGAAAAUGUUGUUCUCUUCUUGGGGGAUUUGGCAAAAAAAAAUGAAUGUAUGGUUCACUAUUCUUGAUGCAUCAUCAUCAUUUAUCCAAGCUUCUUUGCCGUUUUGAGUGGUCUGUCAGCCAGUCCAUGUUGAUUUUUCAUGGAGGGUAUGCCCUCUUUAACACAAAUGGGAGCCCUUAGAACUCAUCUGACGAGUCCAAUGUGGGCGUCAUUCAGAGACAAUGCUAGAUGAAGUUACUUUUAUAAUUCUCCAAUGUUUUGCUUUGAUUAGCUAUUUGUGUAAUUCUCUAAUAUUUUGUUUUGGUUAUGUAUCACUAAAAUUAAUGUUUGUUCAACUAAAAGUGCAUAUGACACUUGAAGUAAUUCAUGUAACUCUUUUAUUGUAUUUAAAUUUAGUCAAAUUUUAAUUAAACUUGAUAUAUUGUAUUUGUGCAA
This is a long non-coding RNA of Cornus florida, 1126 nucleotides long. RefSeq lists it as uncharacterized. Lineage: Eukaryota; Viridiplantae; Streptophyta; Magnoliopsida; Cornales; Cornaceae. The transcript is spliced from 3 exons. The record is from RefSeq and is a predicted model, not a curated record.